RNAcentral lists this ribosomal RNA (233 nucleotides) under uncultured bacterium. Its description in RNAcentral is "partial 16S ribosomal RNA". It matches the Rfam family "Bacterial small subunit ribosomal RNA", at positions 100 to 334 of the family's 1533-position model. The record is from RNAcentral.
CGGGACGGGUGAGUAAUGUCUGGGAAACUGCCUGAUGGAGGGGGGUAACUACUGGAAACGGUAGCUAAUACCGCAUAACGUCGCAAGACCAAAGAGGGGGACCUUCGGGCCUCUUGCCAUCGGAUGUGCCCAGAUGGGAUUAGCUAGUAGGUGGGGUAACGGCUCACCUAGGUGACGAUCCCUAGCUGGUCUGAGAGGAUGACCAGCCACACUGGAACUGAGACACGGUCCAG